GGUCUCGUGGCCUAAUGGCAAGGCGCUAGUUUCCGGUGCAGAGUUAUACUAGCUAGAGAUUGUGGGUUCGAUCCCCACCGAGAUCG
Rhodocollybia butyracea is the source of this 86-nucleotide non-coding RNA. The record is from the annotation of a GenBank genome assembly. NCBI's taxonomy places the organism in Eukaryota, Fungi, Basidiomycota, Agaricomycetes, Agaricales, Omphalotaceae.